Molecule: small nuclear RNA, 63 nt
Filed under: Chrysemys picta bellii (western painted turtle)
Lineage: Eukaryota; Metazoa; Chordata; Testudines; Emydidae
Description: U4 spliceosomal RNA (ENSCPBG00000014585.1)
Source: RNAcentral
AAUAUUGUAUCCAAUGAAGUUAAUCCGAGGGAUGAUUAUUGCUCAUUGAAAACUUGUUGCCAU